Molecule: non-coding RNA, 319 nt
Organism: Drosophila melanogaster (fruit fly)
Lineage: Eukaryota; Metazoa; Arthropoda; Insecta; Diptera; Drosophilidae
Source: Ensembl
GCGGCAAAAAGCAAUUUUUAUUUACCAGGGGGCUCCGCUGAAUCCACCGGCUCCAUUCCAUUCCGUUGACUGAUUGGCGAGACGGCGCCAGAGCGCAAAUACUGGGUCCGGGAACCAGAGACCGGCGACCGGAGACAAACGAGGCGUCCAUCUCAAGAUGCGCACCCCAAUCACCAAUCCCCACUCCCCGAUCCAAAGUCUCCGAUGGCGAAUGCCAUGCCCUCUAUCGAGCGACUCCAUCGGCUUGGUAUGCAAAUCAGGGACGACGUCGCCGGGCAGGAAGUUGAUUAAAUGACAAAAUAAAUAGAAAGUGAAGGAU